AGCAUUUGCAAGUUAAAUCAAGCCUUUUCAUCCAUCCAAGAGUCUUCUAACAACAAGAUCUUCAUCUUCUUUGGAUCAUAAGCUCUUUUAGAUCAUCCCUAGCCUAGAGCUAGAAGUCGCAAUACUGUUCAGGACUACCGUACGUGAAAUCAUAUUUACUUCUACUCACUGAAGCGAUACUGGAAUUAGUGGACCUUGUCAGGGAUUCUAAUUCGGGAAACAAGUAUCAAGACUCCGUGCCAUCUUUUGAAGGGUUUAUCUAUUAUACUGCCGCUUUGCGGUGAUAUAGUGGACAAAGCCUUAGUGUUUAAAAUUUUCGUUUUGAAUGUAUGAAAUAAUAACAACUUAGUUUCUUUGAAUGGUUUGUAAAUUAUAAACUUAAUGUAUGUUGCGCAUCUUUUGAGCAAUU
Helianthus annuus (common sunflower) is the source of this 409-nucleotide long non-coding RNA. RefSeq lists it as uncharacterized. Lineage: Eukaryota; Viridiplantae; Streptophyta; Magnoliopsida; Asterales; Asteraceae. The transcript is spliced from 3 exons. The record is from RefSeq and is a predicted model, not a curated record.